Molecule: ribosomal RNA, 408 nt
Filed under: uncultured bacterium
Lineage: Bacteria
Description: bacterial SSU rRNA
Rfam family: Bacterial small subunit ribosomal RNA
Source: RNAcentral
UUAGGAAUCUUGCGCAAUGGGGGAAACCCUGACGCAGCGACGCCGCGUGUGUGAUGACGUUUUUCGGAAUGUAAAGCACUGUCCUAUGGGGAAGAAGAAUGUGACGGUACCCAUAGAGAAAGCCCCGGCUAACUACGUGCCAGCAGCCGCGGUAAUACGUAGGGGGCGAGCGUUGUCCGAAUUUACUGGGCGUAAAGCGCGUGUAGGCGGCUUUUUAAGUGAGAUGUGAAAUCCUGCAGCUCAACUGCAGAACUGCAUUUCAAACUGGAAGGCUUGAGUGUGGGAGAGGAAAGUGGAAUUCCUGGUGUAGCGGUGAAAUGCGUAGAUAUCAGGAGGAACACCCGUGGCGAAGGCGGCUUUCUGGCCCACCACUGACGCUGAGACGCGAAAGCUAGGGGAGCGAACGGG